Molecule: long non-coding RNA, 119 nt
Organism: Etheostoma spectabile (orangethroat darter)
Lineage: Eukaryota; Metazoa; Chordata; Actinopteri; Perciformes; Percidae
Exons: 3
Source: RefSeq, a predicted model, not a curated record
CUUACACUUAGUAAAGUAUUGUGCUUAAGUACAAAUUAAAGAGUACUUGUUCUUGUUCUGAGUACUUGCUCUGCUUGCAUUGCGGUCGAAUAAACUACAAUACACAGGUGGUCAUCCUU